UGGGGAAUAUUGGACAAUGGGGGCAACCCUGAUCCAGCGAUGCCGCGUGUGUGAAGAAGGCCUGCGGGUUGUAAAGCACUUUAGUUGGGGAGGAAAGGUAUGUACUGCAUAAGUGCAUGCUGUGACGUUACCCAAAGAAUAAGCACCGGCUAACUCUGUGCCAGCAGCCGCGGUAAUACAGAGGGUGCAAGCGUUAAUCGGAAUUACUGGGCGUAAAGCGCGCGUAGGUGGUUAGUUAAGUUGGAUGUGAAAUCCCCGGGCUCAACCUGGGAACUGCAUUCAAAACUGACUGACUAGAGUAUGGUAGAGGGUGGUGGAAUUUCCUGUGUAGCGGUGAAAUGCGUAGAUAUAGGAAGGAACACCAGUGGCGAAGGCGACCACCUGGACUGAUACUGACACUGAGGUGCGAAAGCGUGGGGAGCAAACAGGAUUAGAUACCCAGGUAGUCCCUGAGCGGGCUGGCAAGGCGCAU
Molecule: ribosomal RNA, 472 nt
Filed under: uncultured bacterium
Lineage: Bacteria
Description: bacterial SSU rRNA
Rfam family: Bacterial small subunit ribosomal RNA
Source: RNAcentral